UGCGAGAAAGCACGACUCUCGGCAACGGAUAUCUCGGCCCUCGCCACGAUGAAGAACGUAGCGAAAUGCGAUACAUAGUGUGAAUUGCAGAAUCCCGUGAAUCAUCAAGUCUUUGAACGCAAGUUGCGCCCGAGGCCUUGGCCAAGGGCACGUCUGCCUGGGUGUCGCAU
This 170-nucleotide ribosomal RNA is filed under the name Ceratozamia mixeorum. Its description in RNAcentral is "5.8S ribosomal RNA". It matches the Rfam family "5.8S ribosomal RNA". From Rfam's summary of the family: 5.8S ribosomal RNA (5.8S rRNA) is a component of the large subunit of the eukaryotic ribosome. Lineage: Eukaryota; Viridiplantae; Streptophyta; Cycadopsida; Cycadales; Zamiaceae. The record is from RNAcentral.